This 292-nucleotide ribosomal RNA is filed under the name uncultured bacterium. RNAcentral's name for it is "partial 16S ribosomal RNA". It matches the Rfam family "Bacterial small subunit ribosomal RNA", at positions 505 to 796 of the family's 1533-position model. The record is from RNAcentral.
UUGUCAGCCGCCGCGGUAAGACGUAGGGGGCCAGCGUUGUUCGGAAUUACUGGGUGUAAAGGGUUCGUAGGCGGUGCGGCAAGUUGGGAGUGAAAUCUCUGGGCUCAACCCAGAGGCUGCUUCCAAAACUGCUGUGCUCGAGUGUGAGAGAGGCUCGUGGAAUUGCAGGUGUAGCGGUGAAAUGCGUAGAUAUCUGCAGGAACACCCGUGGCGAAAGCGGCGAGCUGGAUCACUACUGACGCUGAGGAACGAAAGCUAGGGGAGCAAACAGGAUUAGAAACCCCCGUAGUCC